AAAAUCCACCUGCGUGGCGCACCGCGUUACUCGGGGGUGGAAAAAGAAAAUGGAAUUAUCAUUAAAAGAAGAAGCAGACAUCAAGUUCAGCCUUUUACUACGGGGUCGGAGGGUAGCGCCGUUUUCUACCCUUUUUCUUCGCUCGAUCUGCCCUGCAAAAGUAGAAGAAGAAGUGAGUGCGUCUAGGAGGCCAUAAACCGACAGCUGUCUCGGCGUAUAUUAAUCACCGAUGGCCUGCAAACCCAAACCUCACAAUAAACUGGAAUUUGACUCAACUUCGAGGGGUCGUCGGUUGCGAUCCGGAAUCCGGGGGUGUACGUCUGUAAUGCGGAUCCGCAACGAUACGAACGAGGAGAAAUUAGAAACCCGGAACCAACGAGGAUCUUUUUCGUCAACCGGUGGUGCCUGGCUCGCUUUGGAAAAAAAAAUCGUUAUCCAUAAACCGAUGAUAUACGUAGAAAUGGAAAUCGCGAGAGGAACUGGGCCGGUCAGUAGAAAAAUUUCGCCGUCUACACGGACACCUUAUGUAUACAUACACGUACCCUUAUUUACAUAUGCAUAACACAUAACGGUAUGUAAUCAUACGUGCAUUAUAUAUAUCUAGUCAGGUAUAGGUAUAAUAAUGUUGCCAGCGGAAAAUCGCGGCUGUUGGUGAAGUUUGAGCGAUUGUCGGGUUAUCGCGAGAGGGCAGGGACUGCAUAGGGGGAGGUAGGAACGGAAUGGGAUAGGAAGGAAGGAAAGAAGGAAGGAAGAAAGGGAAAAAGGACGAGGGUGCAGGAAACCGGUGGAAAGGGGCAACGCGAAUAGCGGCGACGUCGAUUAAACGGAUUUACAAAGCCGGACGCAGGUCGAAUAUCCCCAUUCGCUGCCGUUGCUGCCUAUGCCACUUUCGAUCUAUCCGUAGGGAUAUGUGCGACGUAUGUAGUACGUAGUACGUAUGUAACACGGUCCGAGAGGAAAUGAAAGGAAGCGACGGUGGGAGCAGCGGCAUUCCGCAUUUGUUGUUUAUCGUAUGUUUGUUGUUGUUUUUUUUCUCUGAUCUUCCGAGUUUCUCAACGUUCGUCGUGUUUUCGAAAAAAUUCGAAAGGACGGAGUUUCGGAAUUAGGAAGGUGUUUCAAUGGAACAAUAUUUAUUUUGUCAUAUUCCCACAAGCGUAUGGAAUUUUAUACGUAUAUCCCGAAGUGGGGACGAUUAUUUAUUAAUAGCUUGAAAUUUUAAUGGGGAGAUCCGCGUACCGUGCAUGGCAGGGUGUCGCGAAAAUUAGUGACAUCGCUUCGAGCGUAUCAAUUAAGA
Molecule: long non-coding RNA, 1294 nt
Organism: Athalia rosae (coleseed sawfly)
Lineage: Eukaryota; Metazoa; Arthropoda; Insecta; Hymenoptera; Athaliidae
Exons: 4
Source: RefSeq, a predicted model, not a curated record